GCCCGCCUCGGCCUUCCAGAGUGCUGGGGAUUACAGGUGUGAGCCACUGUGCCUGUGACCGACAGAGGGUGUAUUUCUGAGCUCUACAUUUCAGAGUUCUUUUCUCUAGCCCUGGCCUGGGUCCCAUACAGGGAACUUAAUUCACUCUAUCACUGAAGUAUACUCUUGCUUUGAUGCCAUUGGUAUGUUGUCCUAGAGAUUUGCUGUGGCUGCUAGGAGUGUUUCAUGAGUUAAGAACUGAUGCAACCUCUCUUUUGUCAGUUUAUGAGUCUAUAAACCAUCUUGUUUCCUUUAGCGAUUAUCUCCCUGGAACUGGAAGGUCAGAGAUGAAGUUUUCUUAGAUUAUAAGUCUCAGUCUUUGCUAUCUACCUUCGUCUGUCUCCCAUGUCACCUGCUGUUUUUUCCCCCCUGUUUUUCAUUUUAAUGUUUUUAUUGGAUAGGUGUCUAUUAUUGCAGGCUACCUCAAAACAUUUUUGGAUAUUGACAGGAUAUAAGUAUGAAUAAUAUGUAAAAGAUAACUUAUUCUAGUUCUUUUGAGCAGAGGAUUUGGUUUCGAUAUGUGGCCCUAUUAAAGCUUUUGUUAAGUCCAAGUACUUUCUGAACUUCAGUUCCCUUACCUGUAAAAUGGAGUUAGUUGUUAGUAAUACCUGUUCUGCCUAACUCAGGAGAUUGUUUUGAGGAUCAAAUGAAAUCAUGAAUGUAAUGGAAUUUUGUAAAUUUUAAAUGAAAUAUUGUAUUACCUAAGAUUUUUUUUUUAAACACCUAUUAAGAAUGGAAUGAAUCUGGGUUUUCCUUUGAAAUCCCAAAUGUUUAAUGUACAGAGAAGUUUUAAUGUGUCUGUUGGGGAGCUUCAUUAGGAUUGUUUUCUAUCUUUAAUUGGCCAGUAUUGUUUUAUAUUUUAGCAUUUUUGGGGAACAUCAAAAUUUGUGUUUCAGUUAUCAUUAAUAUUUUGUAAAGUUAAUGCAUGUGCAUGAUUUAGUCUUUAACAAUCUCUUCAAUUAUUUACAUUCCCAUGUAAAAAAUGCAGUAAUGAACGUCCGUGUAAAUAACAUUCCCAUGCUUUAAUGAAGUAUAAUUUCUUGACCUCGCAGUUUCUAAGUACCCUGUGUUGAUGUUGGGUAGACUAAAGGGCAGUCAGAAGUCAAGGUCAGCAAAGCGUCACCUUUGACAUUUGAAAUCCAGCAGCAGGUAUCACAGUGAACCCCAUUCCAGCAUCCAGGAAGUUUCUCUGCCCUGCCUCUCCUCCAGCCACCUCCGAAUCUGUGUCUGCGGUGUUGGUCCUGCUUUCCUCUCUCUCCUCUGCCUUUUCUUUCUCUUCACCAACUUCUACUGAGUGCCUCUGAUGUCCCAGACAGUGGCAGUGGGAGUACAAAGGCUAAUAAACCCGGCCCUGGUCCUCAAAGAAUUUGUUUUCUGUGCAGAUAUUAAGUGACACUGUCAUAUAUAGUGUUGACAGACGUUGAUACAGAUUUCCUGUGAAGUACAGAAGCAGCAUCCUAGAAGCAGAGAUGCAGACGCAGCACUGGUGACUCACAUGGAGAGCUGGAGUUCUUGGUCUAGUGGGAUCAACUGACCUGGACAUCAUUUCAGUGCAGCGGAAACAAGAUUAUCAUCUAUUGUUUUGGAUGGAGUGUGGCCAGCCCUGCCUUGCGAUGUAAGGAAAUCAGGAAACACUUGUCAGGUGUCAACACCGUGCCAGACACUCUUCUAGGGGUUUCCACACGGAGUCUCAUUCUCUUGCCGGGCUGGAGUGCAGUGG
Cercocebus atys (sooty mangabey) is the source of this 1759-nucleotide long non-coding RNA. RefSeq lists it as uncharacterized. The transcript has 3 exons. Lineage: Eukaryota; Metazoa; Chordata; Mammalia; Primates; Cercopithecidae. The record is from RefSeq and is a predicted model, not a curated record.